GAUGAACGCUGACAGAAUGCUUAACACAUGCAAGUCUACUUGAACUUCGGUUUGGGUGGCGGACGGGUGAGUAACGCGUAAAGAACUUGCCUCACAGUUAGGGACAACAUUUGGAAACGAAUGCUAAUACCUGAUAUUAUGAUUUUAGGGCAUCCUAAGAUUAUGAAAGCUAUAUGCACUGUGAGAGAGCUUUGCGUCCCAUUAGCUAGUUGGAGAGGUAACGGCUCACCAAGGCAGUGAUGGGUAGCCGGCCUGAGAGGGUGAACGGCCACAAGGGGACUGAGACACGGCCCUUACUCCUACGGGAGGCAGCAGUGGGGAAUAUUGGACAAUGGACCAAGAGUCUGAUCCAGCAAUUCUGUGUGCACGAUGACGUUUUUCGGAAUGUAAAGUGCUUUCAGUUGGGAAGAAAAAAAUGACGGUACCAACAGAAGAAGUGACGGCUAAAUACGUGCCAGCAGCCGCGGUAAUACGUAUGUCACAAGCGUUAUCCGGAUUUAUUGGGCGUAAAGCGCGUCUAGGUGGUUAUGUAAGUCUGAUGUGAAAAUGCAGGGCUCAACUCUGUAUUGCGUUGGAAACUGUGUAACUAGAGUACUGGAGAGGUAAGCGGAACUACAAGUGUAGAGGUGAAAUUACGUAGAUAUUUGUAGGAAUGCCGAUGGGGAAGCCAGCUUACUGGACAGAUACUGACGCUAAAGCGCGAAAGCGUGGGUAGCAAACAGGAUUAGAUACCCUGGUAGUCCACGCCGUAAACGAUGAUUACUAGGUGUUGGGGGUCGAACCUCAGCGCCCAAGCAAACGCGAUAAGUAAUCCGCCUGGGGAGUACGUACGCAAGUAUGAAACUCAAAGGAAUUGACGGGGACCCGCACAAGCGGUGGAGCAUGUGGUUUAAUUCGACGCAACGCGAGGAACCUGACCAGCGUUUGACAUCUUAGGAAUGAGACAGAGAUGUUCCAGUGUCCCUUCGGG
RNAcentral lists this ribosomal RNA (970 nucleotides) under Fusobacterium periodonticum. RNAcentral describes it as "bacterial SSU rRNA". It matches the Rfam family "Bacterial small subunit ribosomal RNA", at positions 28 to 1025 of the family's 1533-position model. The record is from RNAcentral. Lineage: Bacteria; Fusobacteriati; Fusobacteriota; Fusobacteriia; Fusobacteriales; Fusobacteriaceae.